UUUCUGCCUUGUUCGAUACAAUAUAGUUUUUUAUAAUCCAACACAUCAUAUUAGGGAAAUUAGCUCCGGCUGUGGAUUGCAGACCUCCCUGCUCGUUUUGAGAGGAAGAAGGGAGCGUGAAGCACUCGGGCGGUUACCCACCUGCUUCGUGCGGGUUUUAUGCGCUAUAUGAACGGCAAGGCGGAUUUU
Molecule: non-coding RNA, 189 nt
Filed under: uncultured Ruminococcus sp.
Lineage: Bacteria; Bacillati; Bacillota; Clostridia; Eubacteriales; Oscillospiraceae
Description: 6S / SsrS RNA
Rfam family: 6S / SsrS RNA
About the family: E. coli 6S RNA was the first non coding RNA to be sequenced, but its function was unknown until recently. It consists of 184 nucleotides that fold into an extended hairpin structure with a large single-stranded internal bulge.
Source: RNAcentral